CGGGGGAUAACUAUUGGAAACGAUAGCUAAUACCGCAUAACAAUGGAUGACACAUGUCAUUUAUUUGAAAGGGGCAAUUGCUCCACUACAAGAUGGACCUGCGUUGUAUUAGCUAGUAGGUGAGGUAAUGGCUCACCUAGGCGACGAUACAUAGCCGACCUGAGAGGGUGAUCGGCCACACUGGGACUGAGACACGGCCCAGACUCCUACGGGAGGCAGCAGUAGGGAAUCUUCGGCAAUGGGGGCAACCCUGACCGAGCAACGCCGCGUGAGUGAAGAAGGUUUUCGGAUCGUAAAGCUCUGUUGUAAGUCAAGAACGGGUGUGAGAGUGGAAAGUUCACACUGUGACGGUAGCUUACCAGAAAGGGACGGCUAACUACGUGCCAGCAGCCGCGGUAAUACGUAGGUCCCGAGCGUUGUCCGGAUUUAUUGGGCGUAAAGCGAGCGCAGGCGGUUUGAUAAGUCUGAAGUUAAAGGCUGUGGCUCAACCAUAGUUCGCUUUGGAAACUGUCAAACUUGAGUGCAGAAGGGGAGAGUGGAAUUCCAUGUGUAGCGGUGAAAUGCGUAGAUAUAUGGAGGAACACCGGUGGCGAAAGCGGCUCUCUGGUCUGUAACUGACGCUGAGGCUCGAAAGCGUGGGGAGCGAACAGGAUUAGAUACCCUGGUAGUCCACGCCGUAAACGAUGAGUGCUAGGUGUUGGAUCCUUUCCGGGAUUCAGUGCCGAAGCUAACGCAUUAAGCACUCCGCCUGGGGAGUACG
Molecule: ribosomal RNA, 760 nt
Filed under: Streptococcus sp. H01_8
Lineage: Bacteria; Bacillati; Bacillota; Bacilli; Lactobacillales; Streptococcaceae
Description: bacterial SSU rRNA
Rfam family: Bacterial small subunit ribosomal RNA
Source: RNAcentral